Non-coding RNA from Paramuricea clavata, 2750 nucleotides. Lineage: Eukaryota; Metazoa; Cnidaria; Anthozoa; Malacalcyonacea; Plexauridae. The record is from the annotation of a GenBank genome assembly.
UGAAAAUACAAACAAAAGCACCAAAUUUUGGUUGAAAGUCUGGCAGGACUGGGCUUUGGCGAGAGAAUAUCAUGUUGACAUGUGCGUAUCCAAUUUUGUCAUGCUAAUAAUAAACAAGUAAUCAUGCGAUGUUGCUCGUACAAUUAGGGAUUAAUAGUACUCGUGAUGUUUGGAAAUUUGCCAAAUUGGACUCGCCCCGGCAGCUCGUCCAAUUUUGGCAAAAUUUCCAAACAUCACUCGUACUAUUAAUCCCUAAUUGUACUCGCCAUCGCAUGAUUACCUAUACUAAAUUUAAGUUGCAGAAUUCUAACACAUUCCUGUCCAUUAGAGAUGGCCAAAUGAUGUAAAUAAUAUAGUUUUGCCAGACACCAGAUGGUACUGGAUACUACAGUAUAAUAGCCUACAGAUACCAGUCAGGAAAAAAAUGAUAGCCUGGUACUGGAUAAUAGUCAGAUAUCAGAUUCUAGUUGUGAUGCUUCACCCAUCUUGGUUUAGGCCGGCGAACGGCGAAUUUCGCCAGCGCUAAGAAGACAUGUGACAGCCAUUCGCCAGAGGCUGUGUGUAAUUCGCCGGUACUUGCAGUCAUGACAAGCUGAAAUUUUUAGCCCAGUCUCGCACUCAGAUAAUAUACCAAAUACAUAAAGCUUCCCUUUGCCCACCACUCAAGCUUCGACCUCCCAUUCUUUGCAUACUCGCUACGCUCAUCAAUUAAUAGCCGGAGCCUCAGUAGAGCAAAACAGUAUUGGCCAUACCCAAAUUAUUAUUAGCCAGGACUUCAAACAGAUACCUGAAGGGCUGAUGCUUUACGAUUAUUAAUUAUGCAUAUAAUUGUAAUGGGGGGGGGGGGGUGUUCGACGUUUUUUUUCCGAAAGCAAAACAUCCCAAAAAUUUAUCCAAACACUAGUUUGAGAUAAUGGGGGCUUAAAAAUAUAUUUUCAGAUCUUUUUCGACCUCAUUUGUUUAGAAAAUUCCUUCAAAUUUUUAAAUAUGUGUUAAAACACAUUCUGCAAUUCCGGGCCCCCUCUGGGCAAGUUGGGCCCGCCCCAGUAGUUACGGCCCUGAAUCUACAGCACUUACAGCGGAUAGCAGAUAUUUACUUUGAACAUCACAACUUUUUCUCCCAGUAAUUGUCCCUGUUCCCAAUUUCUGAAUGUACAAAAAAGACAAAGAAAACAGUUUGUCAGCAGAGUCAGCUUCAUGUUCUUAGAAUAAAAGUUGUAGUGGUAUCUGGUAAAUAUCUGGCAAGAUUUUAACAACCACCUAAUAGUGCCGGAUGUCUGGUUUAACUGGUAUCUGGAUCUGGCACAUUCCUAUUAUCCAUACUGUACAGUACGGCCCUAAUGAAAGUUAACCAUUCUCGCUCGAUAAAAAUUCUCGCUCGCUCGAAACGCGCUUCGCGUUACUCGAUACACAAGAAUUUUGCGAGAAAUCUCGAUGCAAACAUUCACGAGAAUUCUCGCAGCGCUAUACUGCGUGUAAAAUUUUUCGCAUACGUAAAUAAUCUGCAACUACUGGUAGAAGUAACGUUGCUUCGCAAGUCCGUGCGAAAACACGGGGUAAACUGAAAUUAACAAUACAGAGCCAAUUCUUGACUGAUCUUUAAGGACAACAUUAAAAUCCAGCAACAUUAAAAUCCACAAUCAAUAUUUUGAAAUAAAAACGAAAUAAAAUCUACAAAAAAUAUGUAUUAUUUUACCUCCAAAAGAUAUCAACUUCGCUUUCCAUGCCUUUCAAUGCAGUAUCGCUUGGACGUCACUUCCUUUGACCGCGAUGACUACUUUAAUAUUUGCGCUCAGUAACUUCUCACGCGACACCACUAACAGUGUCUUAUCAGCGUAAAAGUAAAACUUCGUCAAGUUUCUUGAAGACAUCGCGUUCUUAUUUCUAUUUCUAUAAUGUCUCUCACAGCAGGCUCACCGACAGAGAUCAAAACAGUAAUGAGCCUAAGACGCUGUAUAAAUCAGACAGCAUGUUUUUCACUGACAUCAUUUGUAAUGCUCUUUUGUUUUCGAUAAUCCAUACGAGACAAUAAGUUGUCGGUGCAGUUCCUGUUAUUGUGGUUGUAAAGAUUGUGCAUGAAUACAGCUAUCGGUUACUAAAUGCAAUCAACCGAAGCGAACUAACAUUAUUUAUAGCCUAAGGCUAUAAUUAUGUAGAUUGUUUUGGUGUAUGAGUCACACCGUAAAAUUUUGGAAAUAGUUUAUUUCUGACUAACGAUAACGAGUACGUUGAGCCGCUAAUUCUAAUAAAGUAUAUAAUAGAAAGAGAGUGUUUUUUACUAACACUAACAUGUAACACUUCGAAUAAACAGACGCUGACUUAACCAGGGAAUUUUGUUUAUCUUGAGGUUGUGUAAAGGUGAGUAACGAAAUAUAUAACCGCUAUCACCCUAUCAUAGUUAUAUUUUUAGGGAACUGGUAAAUAUAUGUCAAAAUACAUGACGUUUUCCAUGCAAGGAAACAGCAAUUAUCCUAUAUUUCGCCACAUGUUGGUCAAACUCUCGCUCGAUUUCGCACGAUACAAACAAUUUUCGAGAACCCUCGCUCGAUAUCUAAUUAAAGUCUUCGAGAACACUCGCUCGAUAUUAAAAAUUUUCGAGAACGCUCGCUCGCUUCGCGCUCGCGUACUCGCAACUCGCAGAUUUCUCGUUAGGGGUCAAAUCGCGCUCGAUAGCCUCUCGCUCGAACUCGCAACUCGCUCGUUACACGAUGUUAACUUUCAUUAGGGCUGUACUGUAGCUACAGUAAAAA